RNAcentral lists this ribosomal RNA (506 nucleotides) under uncultured bacterium. RNAcentral describes it as "partial 16S ribosomal RNA". It matches the Rfam family "Bacterial small subunit ribosomal RNA", at positions 28 to 523 of the family's 1533-position model. The record is from RNAcentral.
GAUGAACGCUAGCUACAGGCUUAACACAUGCAAGUCGAGGGGUAACGAGAGGGAAGCUUGCUUUCCUUGUCGACGACCGGCGCACGGGUGAGUAACGAGUAUCCAACCUGCCCCCAACUAGGGAAUAACCUUGCGAAAGUAAGACUAAUACCCUAUAAUUUCCUCAGAUGUCAUCUGACGAGGAAUAAAGAUUUAUCGGUUGUGGAUGGGGAUGCGUCUGAUUAGCUUGUUGGCGGGGUAACGGCCCACCAAGGCAACGAUCAGUAGGGGUUCUGAGAGGAAGGUCCCCCACAUUGGAACUGAGACACGGUCCAAACUCCUACGGGAGGCAGCAGUGAGGAAUAUUGGUCAAUGGGCGGAAGCCUGAACCAGCCAAGUAGCGUGCAGGAUGACGGCCCUAUGGGUUGGAAACUGCUUUUAUACAGGAAUAAAGUUAGCCACGUGUGGUUAUUUGUAGGUACUGUAUGAAUAAGGACCGGCUAAUUCCGUGCCAGCAGCCGCAGUAA